UACAGAGGGGGCAAGCGUUGUUCGGAAUUACUGGGCGUAAAGGGCGCGUAGGCGGCCCGCUAAGUCGAACGUGAAAUCCCCGGGCUCAACCCGGGAACUGCGUCCGAUACUGGUGGGCUCGAAUCCGGGAGAGGGAUGCGGAAUUCCAGGUGUAGCGGUGAAAUUCGUAGAUAUUAGGAAGAGCACCGGUGGCGAAGGCGGCCCACUGGAUCGGUACUGACGCUGAGGUGCGAAAGCGUGGGGAGCAAACAGG
Molecule: ribosomal RNA, 253 nt
Filed under: uncultured bacterium
Lineage: Bacteria
Description: partial 16S ribosomal RNA
Rfam family: Bacterial small subunit ribosomal RNA
Source: RNAcentral